This is a long non-coding RNA of Oreochromis aureus, 907 nucleotides long. RefSeq lists it as uncharacterized. NCBI's taxonomy places the organism in Eukaryota, Metazoa, Chordata, Actinopteri, Cichliformes, Cichlidae. The record is from RefSeq and is a predicted model, not a curated record. The transcript has 3 exons.
UUGAUGGAAAACAACAAUGGCGGAGUUUGCGUUCUCCAGUCGCAUGAUAGAACUCCAUUACAUGAGGGUGUGAACAUGUGACCAGAGGUUUGCCUUGCAACAAGGUUUCUGGCUGGCUCGGGCCUUUCUGUGUGGAGGUUGCAUGUUGUGCCUGGAUGAGCUUCCUCCAGCUUCUUCCCACUGUCAAGGAUUCGAGUCAGGUGACUUGCCAUUGGCCUCUCCUGUGAGGCUCCUGACACCUGUGAGCAUGGACCCUGCUAUUAUGGUGCUCAGUUGGUGUCUCCAGAACUUGCUCCAAACUGGAUUGGUCCGGAGGAUGGUGAUCCACAAAACCAGGUUACAACAUUAUUUGGAACCCUAGUACAAUCUCCAAAUUGAAGGCCAACCAAGUCUGUUUCCUGACCCUGUUAGCACUCCGGAGUCAUAGGCAGUCCUCUGUAGAUAUGCAGUCAAGGUCUGUAGGAUCAUAUGGCUGAUGGCUCUCUACCCAGGCAAUCCAGAACAGAGUCUAUACAGUCUCUGGUCUCAUAGGGCCCACAGGUAGCCUGCUGUGGCUGCCCUUCACCAUCAGGCCCAUUUGUGCUGGUGUCGGCAACAUGUGCACCAGAAUUUGAACAUGUGGAGGAAAGCUAUGUUUAGUGAUGACAGAGUAAAGGGUUCAACACGCUUCUCCAUUGGCAGUGCAUUACCAGACCGUAGGGAGCUACAUACAGCCCAUGUGUGUCCACCCUGUAUUAAAGACAAUGAAAAGUGUCCACUGCAGCUGCCGUCUGUGCUUUUCAUGCUGUAUUUAUGAUCUUGGUUCAGUUUUCAUGCUUCUCCUGGUCUCAGUUAACUCUCCGGUCCCUCCCUUUCCUGAUUCAGUUUAUCAGUGGUUUAUCAACCAAUCAGCAUUCAGCCUAUGCAC